Molecule: ribosomal RNA, 441 nt
Filed under: uncultured bacterium
Lineage: Bacteria
Description: bacterial SSU rRNA
Rfam family: Bacterial small subunit ribosomal RNA
Source: RNAcentral
AGAGUUUGAUCCUGGCUCAGAUUGAACGCUGGCGGCAUGCCUUACACAUGCAAGUCGAACGGCAGCGCGGGGCAACCUGGCGGCGAGUGGCGAACGGGUGAGUAAUAUAUCGGAACGUGCCCUGGAGUGGGGGGUAACGCAGCGAAAGUUGCGCUAAUACCGCAUACGAUCUAAGGAUGAAAGCAGGGGACCGCAAGGCCUUGUGCUCCUGGAGCGGCCGAUAUCUGAUUAGCUAGUUGGUGGGGUAAAGGCCUACCAAGGCAUCGAUCAGUAGCUGGUCUGAGAGGACGACCAGCCACACUGGAACUGAGACACGGUCCAGACUCCUACGGGAGGCAGCAGUGGGGAAUUUUGGACAAUGGGCGAAAGCCUGAUCCAGCAAUGCCGCGUGAGUGAAGAAGGCCUUCGGGUUGUAAAGCUCUUUUGUCAGGGAAGAAACGG